Non-coding RNA from Cinara cedri, 234 nucleotides. NCBI's taxonomy places the organism in Eukaryota, Metazoa, Arthropoda, Insecta, Hemiptera, Aphididae. The record is from the annotation of a GenBank genome assembly.
AUGUGCGUUUUCACGACAGCUAAAAGUCUAAACUUCGAAAGAGCAAUGGCCACUUAUAUUUAACAUUUUCACUGUGGAUUGUAAUAGAGUUUUAGUAUCAGUUUAUUUUACUAGGUAGGUACUAGAUACUUAAAUGAAAUUUCUAAGGUCACCAAGCCUAAAUUUCUAAUUUGGAAAUACUACGAGUACCUGACAAAAAAAUGAUAUAUCCGUGCUUAAUGCUUAUUAAUACCU